CUUGCACCACUUUGGUUCUAGUGGCGAACGGGUGAGUAACACGUGAGAAAUCUGCCCUUUAGACUGGGAUAACUACUGGAAACGGUUUGUAAUACCGGAUGUGCUCUAGAUACCGCAUGGUAUUUAGAGGAAAGCUUAGAUGCACUAAAGGAUGAUCUCGCGGCGUAUUAGUUAGUUGGUGAGAUAGUGGCUCACCAAGACAAUGAUACGUAGCCGGCCUGAGAGGGUGACCGGCCACACUGGGACUGAGACACGGCCCAGACUCC
RNAcentral lists this ribosomal RNA (266 nucleotides) under uncultured bacterium. RNAcentral describes it as "partial 16S ribosomal RNA". It matches the Rfam family "Bacterial small subunit ribosomal RNA", at positions 67 to 339 of the family's 1533-position model. The record is from RNAcentral.